UACGAAGGGGGCUAGCGUUGCUCGGAAUCACUGGGCGUAAAGCGCACGUAGGCGGAUUGCUAAGUCAGGGGUGAAAUCCUGGAGCUCAACUCCAGAACUGCCAUUGAUACUGGCGAUCUUGAGUCCGGGAGAGGUGAGUGGAACUGCGAGUGUAGAGGUGAAAUUCGUAGAUAUUCGCAAGAACACCAGUGGCGAAGGCGGCUCACUGGCCCGGUACUGACGCUGAGGUGCGAAAGCGUGGGGAGCAAACAGG
RNAcentral lists this ribosomal RNA (253 nucleotides) under uncultured bacterium. RNAcentral describes it as "partial 16S ribosomal RNA". It matches the Rfam family "Bacterial small subunit ribosomal RNA", at positions 524 to 776 of the family's 1533-position model. The record is from RNAcentral.